RNAcentral lists this transfer RNA (71 nucleotides) under Loxodonta africana (African savanna elephant). It matches the Rfam family "tRNA". Rfam says of the family: Transfer RNA (tRNA) molecules are approximately 80 nucleotides in length. Lineage: Eukaryota; Metazoa; Chordata; Mammalia; Proboscidea; Elephantidae. The record is from Rfam by way of RNAcentral.
GCAGUGGUGACUCAUUGGUGGAAUUCUUGCCUUCCAUGCAGGAGAUCUAGGUUCGAUUCCUAGCCAAUGUA